This 503-nucleotide ribosomal RNA is filed under the name uncultured bacterium. RNAcentral describes it as "partial 16S ribosomal RNA". It matches the Rfam family "Bacterial small subunit ribosomal RNA", at positions 28 to 507 of the family's 1533-position model. The record is from RNAcentral.
GAUGAACGCUGGCGGCGUGCCUAACACAUGCAAGUCGAACGGAGUCCAGCCUUAGAGACCUUCGGGUCAAAGAGGGGAAGACUGAGUGGCGGACGGGUGAGUAACACGUGGGCAACCUGGCUCAUAGAGGGGGAUAACAGAGAGAAAUUUCUGCUAAUACCGCAUAAGCACACACUGCCGCAUGGCAGAGUGUGAAAAGAGAAUCGCUAUGAGAUGGACCCGCGUCUGAUUAGCCAGUUGGCAGGGUAAGAGCCUACCAAAGCGACGAUCAGUAGCCGAUUUGAGAGGAUGAACGGCCACAUUGGGACUGAGACACGGCCCAAACUCCUACGGGAGGCAGCAGUGGGGGAUAUUGCACAAUGGGGGGAACCCUGAUGCAGCAACGCCGCGUGAGUGAUGAAGGUCUUCGGAUCGUAAAACUCUGUUAUUAGGGAAGAACAAAUGUGUAAGUAACUAUGCACGUCUUGACGGUACCUAAUCAGAAAGCCACGGCUAACUACGUG